This 429-nucleotide ribosomal RNA is filed under the name bacterium. Its description in RNAcentral is "partial 16S ribosomal RNA". It matches the Rfam family "Bacterial small subunit ribosomal RNA", at positions 355 to 776 of the family's 1533-position model. The record is from RNAcentral.
UGGGGAAUUUUGGACAAUGGGGGCAACCCUGAUCCAGCAAUGCCGCGUGUGUGAAGAAGGCCUUCGGGUUGUAAAGCACUUUUGUCCGGGAAGAAAUCGCACCUGAUAAUACUGGGUGUGGAUGACGGUACCUGAAGAAUAAGGACCGGCUAACUACGUGCCAGCAGCCGCGGUAAUACGUAGGGUCCAAGCGUUAAUCGGAAUUACUGGGAGUAAAGCGUGCGCAGGCGGUUGUGCAAGACCGAUGUGAAAUCCCCGGGCUUAACCUGGGAAUUGCAUUGGUGACUGCACGGCUAGAGUGUGUCAGAGGGGGGUAGAAUUCCACGUGUAGCAGUGAAAUGCGUAGAGAUGUGGAGGAAUACCGAUGGCGAAGGCAGCCCCCUGGGAUAACACUGACGCUCAUGCACGAAAGCGUGGGGAGCAAACAGG